ACAUCCAGCGAACUUGGCAGAGAUGCCUUGGUGCCUUCGGGAACGCUGAGACAGGUGCUGCAUGGCUGUCGUCAGCUCGUGUUGUGAAAUGUUCGGGUUAAGUCCCGNAACGAGCGCAACCCUUAUCCUUUGUUGCCAGCGAUUCGGUCGGGAACUCAAAGGAGACUGCCGGUGAUAAACCGGAGGAAGGUGGGGAUGACGCCAAGUCAUCAUGGCCCUUACGAGUAGGGCUACACACGUGCUACAAUGGCGCAUACAAAGAGAAGCGACCUCGCGAGAGCAAGCGGACCUCAUAAAGUGCGUCGUAGUCCGGAUCGGAGUCUGCAACUCGACUCCGUGAAGUCGGAAUCGCUAGUAAUCGUGGAUCAGAAUGCCACGGUGAAUACGUUCCCGGGCCUUGUACACACCGCCCGUCACACCAUGGGAGUGGGUUGCAAAAGAAGUAGGUAGCUUAACCUUCGGGAGGGCGCUUACCACUUUGUGAUUCAUGACUGGGGUGAAGUCGUAACAAGGUAGGCGUAGCGAG
This 526-nucleotide ribosomal RNA is filed under the name uncultured bacterium. RNAcentral's name for it is "bacterial SSU rRNA". It matches the Rfam family "Bacterial small subunit ribosomal RNA", at positions 984 to 1509 of the family's 1533-position model. The record is from RNAcentral.